This 506-nucleotide ribosomal RNA is filed under the name Pseudomonas sp. Its description in RNAcentral is "bacterial SSU rRNA". It matches the Rfam family "Bacterial small subunit ribosomal RNA", at positions 138 to 639 of the family's 1533-position model. Lineage: Bacteria; Pseudomonadati; Pseudomonadota; Gammaproteobacteria; Pseudomonadales; Pseudomonadaceae. The record is from RNAcentral.
GGGGGAUAACGCUCGGAAACGGACGCUAAUACCGCAUACGUCCUACGGGAGAAAGCAGGGGACCUUCGGGCCUUGCGCUAUCAGAUGAGCCUAGGUCGGAUUAGCUAGUUGGUGAGGUAAUGGCUCACCAAGGCGACGAUCCGUAACUGGUCUGAGAGGAUGAUCAGUCACACUGGAACUGAGACACGGUCCAGACUCCUACGGGAGGCAGCAGUGGGGAAUAUUGGACAAUGGGCGAAAGCCUGAUCCAGCCAUGCCGCGUGUGUGAAGAAGGUCUUCGGAUUGUAAAGCACUUUAAGUUGGGAGGAAGGGCAGUAAAUUAAUACUUUGCUGUUUUGACGUUACCGACAGAAUAAGCACCGGCUAACUCUGUGCCAGCAGCCGCGGUAAUACAGAGGGUGCAAGCGUUAAUCGGAAUUACUGGGCGUAAAGCGCGCGUAGGUGGUUUGUUAAGUUGGAUGUGAAAUCCCCGGGCUCAACCUGGGAACUGCAUUCAAAACUGACAA